GUCUGGGGAUGCUGCGAUGCUGCAGGCUCUGCAAAUUUGUGUCUCAAUUGCCCAUAAUCACUUCAAUUAUUCAAACAAUUAAACUAUUCUUUCCAAAUAUUUCCAGGGACCGGCAUCUGCAUUUAUAGCUUCCAUGACAUAGACUAGGCCAGAGCAAAAAAACAAUCUUGUUCUAUAGAACAGCUCAGGAUGGCUCAAAUAUAAGGCCCUCUCAUAGCUGUUUGCAACCCAAGUCUAAAUUUCAGCUUUCUCUUUUAGUCUGUGGGCUCAUUUACUGGCUCUGUAUCCCUGGUUUGGAUGUAACUAUGGGUUGGCUUUGCAAGUUUCAAUAGGGAAUGGCACAAGAAUGAAAAUAGAAAUGCCUGAGCUGCCAAAAUGCAAGCCUGGAUCUCAUAGGACACUGCAUUAGGUGCCAAAAGACUCCUCCGGGGAUUGGCUUGCCACGCUCCACAUCCUCACACUCUGCUGGGAUUGCAACUGUCUGCCCGGCCCCAGCUGGUGGCCCUGCACUGGGAAGGAGUCAGAACAGGGGCUGUGGAAGAAUGAGAACAAAUCAAAGAAAACAGACUGAUUAAACUGGAGGAAGAAAGAAAUUUCCUCAGGAGAAAGGGGGAAGCCAAUCCCUGCAGAAGAAAACAUGAGGGAGCAAACAGUCAGCCCUGCAGAUCCUUUCCAUCUGGACAACUGACAGGAGAUAAGAGAAAGACGAUAGGACCAUCUCAGCCUGAAUGGUGACACUUGUAACUUCUCAUAUUCCACGGCAAGAACUAGUCUUUUGGUCCUACCUAGAUGCAGACUCUACCACAUACAUCAACAAACAUUUCCUGAGUGCUAAUAUGUGCUGAGGCCUGCCCUGAUGCAAGGGAUACAGAAAUGAACAAAACAUAGUUCCAGUCUUUUCAGAGCUUUUAAUAGCACAGGCAAUCAAGGAUUACCAAAUAUCUGAGCCAAGUCUCAAAAUGGAUGGGAAGAUCAAAACGAACAACUGACAAAAACAACUAGGAGGAAACACAAUCCAGCAACCAUCAUUGAUAUCCUCAGAGAGAUAAGAGAAGAUGCUGCAUCCAUGAAACAAGAAUAGGAGGAUAUUUAAAAAGAAAAGAAAAAAGAAGGCCUUCAAAUUUAAAAAUAUUCCAGAAGAAAAAUAUUUUUAAAAACCACUAUUGAAAGAUUAGAAGAUAAUUUGAGUAAAUAUCCCAGAGAGUAGAUCAAAAAGACAAAAGAAUGAAAAAUAAGAAGGAAAAUAUAACAAAAUUGAAGCUCUAGUCUUCCCAUGAAGAAAGGACAAGAGAAAAUGGAAGGCAGGAUAUAAUUUAAUUUCUCUUAAUUAAGGAAUAUAAUUUACCACACUGGAAGGACCUAUGACAGUGUGGAAACAAACCCACACUAAGGAAUAUCAAUGUAAAAUUUCAGAAUUCUGCAUGAAGACAAAGAGAAGAUUCUAUGAGCUUCCAAGGAAGCAAGAGGGUGAAAAAGGAUCACAUACAAAAGAUGAGGAAUCAAGUGGCUUUGAAGUUCUCAGCAGCAACACCAGUAGUACUAGAUAAACACCUUCAUAAUGUCAAAAGCAAAUAAUUUCCAACCUAGAGUGUUUUACAAAAUCAAGCUGUCAAGUAUGACGGUAGAAUAAAAACAUUUUCAGUACAUACUUGGUAUCAAGAUAUCUGUCAUGCAUGAUCUGUUUUUAAGAAGUCCCUUAAAGAUGUACUUUAUCACAAUGAGAAAGAAAAGCCUAGAGAGAAGAUACAGGAUGCAGGAAACAGGAGAUGUCAUACAGAACGGUGAAGGGAAUCACAAGGAGACUCUAGGAUUUCAGUGACUCGUUGCCACAGUGUGACUCAAGAGGCAAACAAGAGCUGAAAUCACCCAGAUACCCCCUGCUACCUCUUUUUUAUCUGGGACAGAAUGUACAGAUGAGCCUGAUCCAGAUUUUCAUCCAGACUUGCCAGAAGCAGGUGCUAUGAAGUUCUUCCACCGCUCCACUCUCCACCAUGUCCUGCUGCAGGGAUUAACCAAGGCACUCAUUUCCCUGACAGAAGCGCUCAUGGUGGGUUUAGAAACACCACGUACAGAGCAGCCCUCUCCUGCUGACCCUAUUCCUGCUGGACACCUAGUACCUGCCUGCCAAGUAUCUAUACUGUGGGGGAGAAUGUACGAGCCAUAUCUCUAUUCUAUUGUAUGUAACCCUUAUAAUUCAUU
RNAcentral lists this long non-coding RNA (2199 nucleotides) under Equus caballus (horse). RNAcentral's name for it is "lncRNA (ENSECAG00000041132.2)". Lineage: Eukaryota; Metazoa; Chordata; Mammalia; Perissodactyla; Equidae. The record is from RNAcentral.